Molecule: ribosomal RNA, 482 nt
Filed under: uncultured bacterium
Lineage: Bacteria
Description: partial 16S ribosomal RNA
Rfam family: Bacterial small subunit ribosomal RNA
Source: RNAcentral
GAUGAACGCUAGCGGCAGGCCUAAUGCAUGCCAGUCGGACGGGAUUCAGGAGCUUGCUUCUGAUGAGAGUGGCGCACGGGUGCGUAACACGUAUGUAACCUACCUUUAUCAGGGGGAUAGCCUCUCGAAAGAGAGAUUAAGCCCGCAUAAAAUCACAGCACAGCAUUGUGUAAUGAUCAAAUAUUUAUAGGAUAAAGAUGGGCAUGCGGAACAUUAGCUAGAUGGCGGGGUAACGGCCCACCAUGGCGACGAUGUUUAGGGGAUCUGAGAGGAUGGCCCCCGAGACUGGUACUGAGACACGUACCAGACUCCUACGGGAGGCAGCAGUAAGGAAUAUUGGUCAAUGGGCGGAAGCCUGAACCAGCCAUGCCGCGUGCAGGAAGACGGCCCUACGGGUUGUAAACUGCUUUUAGACGGGAAUAAACCCAGAUACGUGUAUCUGGCUGAAUGUACUGUAAGAAUAAGGAUCGGCUAACUCCGUG